Molecule: unclassified non-coding RNA, 1468 nt
Filed under: uncultured fungus
Lineage: Eukaryota; Fungi
Description: sequence contains 18S rRNA gene, ITS1, 5.8S rRNA gene, ITS2, 28S rRNA gene
Source: RNAcentral
GGGGCGCUGUUUCGCGCUUCGAGAGGUUGCCUUCCAGAUCGAAUACUGACUCGCGGGCGGCAAAAGUGAACCGGUAGUCUUUCGAAUCGCCAGAAUGGAAAAGCACCAGAAUGCCGUGGUACUCGGCUUGAUCAAUCAAGCGUGCAAUGACAUUCCGCAGUCCAACGCGGUUGCGGGCCACAUCGAUCCCACCGGCAACGACAGCCUCUAGCACCGCGAGUUGCUGCCCGCCAUGCAAUCGGGUUCGUCCAAGCUGCAAAACCGAAUCGAUAUGAGACUUUGUCGGUGGAAGCGGUUGCGGCGAACCGAACACGUCGGUCCCCGGCAAGACGGAUCGAAAGAGUUCAAGCCAGCGAUCCCGUUGGUAGGGUUGCUGAAGGAUCGACUGUAGUGCUUCGCGGUUCACGAUUUGGGAUCUCGAUCAAAUGACUCAGACAAAAUGAUCUCUGGGGAUUGUCUCUGAGAUGUGGAUUCACCUGUGUAAUUGGUUUCUCCGCCUCGUCUAGCAGAGGGUAGCGGCGAAGGAUGUGAAUCAAUUUGUCGGCAAGCGCAGCAGGUGUGAGCUUGACCUCUUUCGUGGACUUCUGAAGCUGGUUGAUCUCGCGUUGCAGGGUCUGGAACCGAACGCGACGAAUGGCCUGUUUAGCUGCUUGGAUGAGACUCUUCUCGUCCCCACUCAAUAUCGUCAGGUUGAGGAAGGCAUCAAGGUACGCUAAGGCGCGGCGCUCAUUGGGACCUUGGACGCCAUCGGCCACCUGAUCCUGCAGCGCUUGGGCGACGGAUUGCUCCUUGAAACGAUCAAUCGAAGCAUUGACGUGGUCGUGAUGCGCCGCGUGAAGGGGGAUGGCUUUUUCCUUAGGAUCGGAUGCCCGAAAUUCGCGGGCGGCUUCCAAUAAGGCAAUCUCCUCAAGUGCGCCUCCGGCCUUGAGCCUGUAAAAACCGUCUCGACGUGUGCUGCGAAUAAAUGUGACCGUGCUUCCGGCACGGUCUUUGUCUGCCCGUCCCAGGCGGGCACGUAGGGGAAGACUCUUGAUGCGACGGAAUUGCUCUGGUUGUUGGUUGCGAAACGUGCGCAGUUCCAUUAGCAAGGCGAGACGUUCGUCGCGUUCUUCCUCCUCUAGGGAGCGUUCGAACAGGCCAAACGUACCGAACUCCUCGGUCUCGGAGUAGAUCUGGCUAUCCUCGCCGAGUGCGGUAUGAAAUGCCUGCAAUUUCAUGAUGGCUUUUUUCUUCAACUCAAUAUCACUAUCCACACGGGCAGUCGGGUAAAAAUUGUAAAUGUAGAUCCUCGGGGCAGUCGCGCCGAUGCGGUUGAGCCGACCAAUGCGUUGCAUGAGGCGAGUGGAGUUCCACGGCGUGUCGUAGUUCACGACUACGUUGGCACGGUGGAGAUUUAUGCCUUCCGCCAAGACUUCGGUGGAGAGCAGGAUGUCGAAGUCAUUUGCUCUAGUCCCAGGGAAAUUCGCGU